ACCCGGCUGUCCCUCCAGCUGCGGCCGGAGUGGGGACUCCGCUCGGCCCCGGCCGCGGGCUGUCAGCGGCCAGCGGGGGCAGGGCCGCUCCUCUCGGCUGGAAUUUUCCUCUCCCCGAGCGAACCGUCCCGGCGGCCGCCUCGGGCUCAGCCCUUUCCCAUUCCAGCCACCAGGGCGCGAGGCAAAAUCCCCACAGGUGGGGAAAGCCAGGCGCGGAGCCCGGGGCCGGGAUGCGGUCGGACCCCGCGGUGGGGUCCGGCACCCUCAGGAAAUCCGUUCUGCCCGGCCAUCGGGGCUGGGCCGCCCUGUGCCCGCUGCCGAGCGCGCCGGGACGCGGCUGAGCCCCACCGUGUCACGGGUGACGAGCUCCCGGGGUCAGGGGUGAUUUCAGCCUGAUCUGCGUUUGCUCGCCGAGCAUGACGGCACCUCAGCUUUUGUAUGCUGAGCAGAUCGGGCACUAAUGCGCUGUGUACCUGUGUCAGCACAGAGCGCCGUUCCUGCUCUGCCGUGGGACCAGAUGAUAUUGCACAGUACAUACAACUCUUUAUACAGGAGACUAAGCCUGAAGCCACCUGUUUCGAGAGACCCUAGAGGUUGUUCACACCCUGAAUAACCACAUGCCAUUAUCAGGCACACCUCAUUAAUCUGUGUAUGUUUCUUAAACCAAAAACUUAAUCACUGUCCAUGUUCUAGUCUCACACUCCUCAAAUUGUUUGGCCACUUCUGCUUGAGAUCGCUCAAAGAAUGACCAGCAAAGGCGAAGGAUCGGGCCUUGAGGAGAGGAUAUCAGCCCAGGAGACGCCGUGGUUCAGUGAUCCUCCAGGUAUAGCAAACCUCAG
Corvus hawaiiensis (hawaiian crow) is the source of this 839-nucleotide long non-coding RNA. RefSeq lists it as uncharacterized. The transcript is spliced from 4 exons. The record is from RefSeq and is a predicted model, not a curated record. Lineage: Eukaryota; Metazoa; Chordata; Aves; Passeriformes; Corvidae.